Molecule: long non-coding RNA, 199 nt
Organism: Suricata suricatta (meerkat)
Lineage: Eukaryota; Metazoa; Chordata; Mammalia; Carnivora; Herpestidae
Exons: 3
Source: RefSeq, a predicted model, not a curated record
UGAUUGGCUUGGGGUUAGCACGACCUGUUUCCCCCAGAGAAAGAAAUGUCUGACUUGAAAAUUAACUCUAAGGAAGUUUCAACUCCUGUUGCUGGAAUGACACCAACUGACCCAAAUGAGAGCUUGACAUUUUCUGGUUUUCAUUGGUCUAUUGAUACACAAAGACAAGAAGCUACAUGUAUAUAAAAAAGACAGACAA